CGAGACGUACCUUGCAAUAGAUGUUUAUUUAACUGGAAACCCGCAAGAGCAGCUGCCCAGUGCAACAGUACAUAUUUGCUUCUGAAUCCUUUCUCAAAGGCACUAUUUAAACAUGUUGAUGAACUGAGCUGAAUUUCUCCCCACCUCCAUUCCAGCAAAACAAGGAGACUCAGAAGAUAAAGUUUGUUUUGCUAUUGCAAGCAGUGCUAUGUGUGAACAUUUCUGUUUGACAUGACACGGCAAUUCUGCAUCAAUGGUGCUUGAAAUAGUUCAAUGCAGAAUGCAGAAAUGGUGCUCAGAGUCAGAACAGGACUUCGAAGUCUGCUGCUGUCACAUUUUAUUUUUCUCGUUAAUGCUGACUGGGAUUUGCUUUUUAUGUUGGAGAUCUCAGGGCCCAGAUCCUCAAGAAAUUGAUGGGAGUUGUGAUGAUCCUUACCUGAGCUGCUUAUCUUACAGACAGAAGCCAUCUGCCAAUAAGCAGUCUUUGCAGAGAAAUCAUGAUCAAGGGAUGCAUUGAACGGUCUGAAAGGAGUUCAGAACCACAGGAUCCAUAUCUGAAGGUCUGGAGGGGUUGUUCAAAGAGACAUGGAGUAUCACCUGUCUGCCAGUGCCACCUUUCUCCAUUCUGUCCUCAGAAUUGCCACCAGCUGGACACACAGAUCUCUAUCACUCAUGUCAGUAUGUAACCCAAGUGAACAGAUUUGUAAAGCAGCAAAUUUUGAUAUGAGAGGGAUGUCAGAUCUGCCUUCACCUGACAUUUGCUUUAAGAGUUCUCCAAUCAGCCCUCAGAAGAAUUACAUGAAGCCAGGAAAGUCCCUUUGGAGUCCUGCAAAUCUGAAGUCAGGCAGGAGGAUCUAUCUUUUCCUCGGGCAAAAAAAUCCUUUUUCAGGUAAUGGCACUUUUCAGGCCAACAGCCCCUGGGAAAGGAAAACAACACAGGGAAAGCUGAAGUGAAUAAACUUGAUAACCCUUUACAGGUGAAGCGCCCUCAACUUUUCACAGUCAAGACAUAAAGAAAGUGCUGCAAAGGAGCCGUUUUUUUGUGACAAACCUGGGUUACUUUCUCAUGGGCAGUCAGAGAACAAACUGCUUUGCAAGUACUGUGUUUUGUGCCAGGCACCUUGGGACCAUUCAGGGUAGUUUUGGAACUCUUCCAAGAUUGUGGGAUGAAAGGAUGAGAAAAAAAUUGAUCAUUUAAUUUUUCUUAAAUGCUGUUUGACUUUACAUAGCCCAGCAUUUGUUCCUUUCAAGAGUUUGUUGAAGAGCAUCAUAAUAGUGAUACUGCUCAGCUUUUAUGUAUUAAUAUAUAUGCAAGAGCUUUAUGAAGAUGGGUCCUAUGACUGUUGUAAUUUCAUAGAUCUAAAGUUUAAGGAACAGAGGCAGAUAGUGACAGACCAUCUAAAUGACCUCAGGUAAAUGGGGAAAUUGGAAGUAUACAUGUUGAUUGCAUUUUUUCCCAACCUUUUCCCCCCAAAUCUGUGUAGUAGUUGCUUCUACUUUGGGGUAAGAAAUGUAACUUCUAAAGGGCUUUUUGAGCCAUGAGUGCUAUGUUACAAUGCCAAUUCCUUUCUUGAAGAUUAAUGUGAGAGCUAAUUAAUUUUAAAUAUAGUAGGAGAUGAAGAUUCCAGCACAUGAAGCCUGAAUACAAAAAAACCCUAGUACCAUCUCCUUCCCGAGUAGGUUUUGCUUUGGUGUCUCUGUUCUGGAUUGAAAUGAAUAUUUAUCUAAAUAUCUUAAACAAGCUUUGCACAGGAACGAAAA
Molecule: long non-coding RNA, 1761 nt
Organism: Neopsephotus bourkii (Bourke's parrot)
Lineage: Eukaryota; Metazoa; Chordata; Aves; Psittaciformes; Psittacidae
Exons: 7
Source: RefSeq, a predicted model, not a curated record